GUUCCUGUAGUUAAAUUUUUAUAACAACAGCUUUUCAGGCUGUAGAUCUUGGGGAAGAUCCAGGUAGGAACU
Molecule: transfer RNA, 72 nt
Filed under: Podoces hendersoni (Mongolian ground-jay)
Lineage: Eukaryota; Metazoa; Chordata; Aves; Passeriformes; Corvidae
Description: tRNA-Glu
Rfam family: tRNA
About the family: Transfer RNA (tRNA) molecules are approximately 80 nucleotides in length. Their secondary structure includes four short double-helical elements and three loops (D, anti-codon, and T loops). Further hydrogen bonds mediate the characteristic L-shaped molecular structure. tRNAs have two regions of fundamental functional importance: the anti-codon, which is responsible for specific mRNA codon recognition, and the 3' end, to which the tRNAs corresponding amino acid is attached (by aminoacyl-tRNA synthetases). tRNAs cope with the degeneracy of the genetic code in two manners: having more than one tRNA (with a specific anti-codon) for a particular amino acid; and 'wobble' base-pairing, i.e. permitting non-standard base-pairing at the 3rd anti-codon position.
Source: RNAcentral